This is a long non-coding RNA of Sitodiplosis mosellana (orange wheat blossom midge), 964 nucleotides long. RefSeq lists it as uncharacterized. The transcript has 3 exons. The record is from RefSeq and is a predicted model, not a curated record. Lineage: Eukaryota; Metazoa; Arthropoda; Insecta; Diptera; Cecidomyiidae.
ACGUUGGCUCCGAUCAGAGCAUUUUAGAUGCAAAUACAAAGUUAUCAUCACGAUUCUGUUGAAACAUUGGAGUCCAACGAGUGAUCGAAUGUGUUAUCGUUGUAACAUAAUUUAUUUUUCAUAAAGAAUCAAAAGUCGACAUUGCGGUCAGUUUGAAUAGAAUUUAACGCAAAAUGAAGUUCGUUUUCAUAUUGUUUGUGAUUGGCAUUUUUUGCCUGCGAAUUUUCGCAGAGGAUUCAAUCAGUGUGGACAUAGUGAAAAACCAUAAUCGAAAAUUAAGCAGAGAUUUGAAUUUGAAGGUUGUGAAGAUAUUUAAUAAUGAAAUUGUGAAAAACACAACGUACGCACAAACUCAAACGAAGUUCGCGAAAUCAAAAGAGGACGCAUUGACAGAGUUUAAUGCCACAAAAAUUGGCGGUGGUUUUGAUAUGGUAGAUCAAUAAUUGGAUGCAUUGAACAGAGCAUUUUUCCGGAGCACAACAUUGUUUAAUAACGCUAUAGAAUAUUAUAAGAACUACAUACCAAUUCUUAUGGUUGUGUAUGAGCCACAGGUAGCGCAUGACGAAACAAAGGGCCGAGCUAUUGCAAAGUUCGUGGAAGAAGCGAGAAGUGACAACGAACUAUUUGAUUCGUUCAAACAAAAACUGGAGAAAGAGCUGGAUUAUGAGUUUCAUUGGACAUUUCCCGAAAUCAAUACCAGCGGAUGGUUUCAAUGGACAUUUCCCGGGGCUACCGGGUCACCCGGCGGAAGUAACAACCACAACAGUAAUUCCACCCUUGGGAAUACUACAAAUGCGAAUAAUUCAACAGAGGCAACCACAACGAAAAUCAGCAAAAAGAAAGAAGAUUGAUGCGAAUGCAUUUAAAACGUAUGCAUCAUCUCAAAUUAAUUCGACCAAUUUAUGCGUUUAUAUCAAAGGAAUGUUCCCAUGAUUCUCAAUGGAAAUAAAGAACAAUGCAAUUA